Molecule: ribosomal RNA, 274 nt
Filed under: uncultured bacterium
Lineage: Bacteria
Description: partial 16S ribosomal RNA
Rfam family: Bacterial small subunit ribosomal RNA
Source: RNAcentral
CUACGGAGGGUGCAAGCGUUACUCGGAAUCACUGGGCGUAAAGCGCGCGCAGGCGGCUAUUUAAGUUGGAUGUGAAAGCCUACGGCUCAACCGUAGAACUGCAUCCAAAACUAUUUAGCUAGAGUGUGGGAGAGGAAGAUGGAAUUAGUUGUGUAGGGGUAAAAUCCGUAGAGAUAACUAGGAAUACCAAAAGCGAAGGCAAUCUUCUGGAACACUACUGACGCUGCGGCGCGAAAGCGUGGGGAGCAAACGGGAUUAGAUACCCGAGUAGUCC